Molecule: ribosomal RNA, 482 nt
Filed under: uncultured bacterium
Lineage: Bacteria
Description: partial 16S ribosomal RNA
Rfam family: Bacterial small subunit ribosomal RNA
Source: RNAcentral
GACGAACGCUGGCGGCGUGCUUAACACAUGCAAGUCGAACGAUGAAGAAGAGAAACGCGAACUUCGGUUCAAAUUUCACUUCGGAUUAGUGGCAGACGGGUGAGUAACGCGUGAGCAACCUACCUCUUACAAAGGGAUAGCCUCGGGAAACCGUGAUUAAUACCAUAUGACACAUUCAUAAGGCAUCUUAAGACUGUUAAAGCUACGGCGGUAAGAGAUGGGCUCGCGUCCCAUUAGCUAGUUGGUGAGGUAACGGCCCACCAAGGCGACGAUGGGUAACCGGGCUGAGAGGGUGAACGGUCACAUUGGAACUGAGACACGGUCCAAACUCCUACGGGAGGCAGCAGUGGGGAAUAUUGCACAAUGGAGGGAACUCUGAUGCAGCGACGCCGCGUGAGCGAUGAAGGAAUUCGUGUCGUAAAGCUCUGUUCUAUGGGAAGAAAAGGACGGUACCAUAGGAGAAAGCCCCGGCUAAAUACGUG